UCUGACCCAAGGUCAUGUUCUCAUUCCAUCUUGUUUAACAGAGAAUGGCUUCUCUUCUUUUCUCUCCCUUUCAUGAUUUUACUAUUUUCGAAGAAUCAAGGUAGGCUUUUUCAGUAACCUGUCCCUCAAUCUGUAUUUGUUUUGGGCUUAGAUUCACGCUGUGAUUUUUGGUAGAACUACUAUCAAAGCGAUAUUUUGUCUCACUCAGCACAUCCCAUCAGGAGGCACAUGAUGCCAAUUUAUUCCAUGAUUGGUGACGUUAGCAUUGAUUGCUUGGUAACUGUGGGGUUUUCUAGAUUUAUCCGCUCUAAAGGAGCCACCAUUACCUGCAUUUUAUACAAGUACAAAAAAGGAACCAGCUGCAUUGUAUUGGUGACCGUGAACUAAAGAGAUGCUUGUGGAAUUUUCCUAAAAUGAAGAACGGCUCCUGGUGAUUGUGAUUUUCUGCCUCCCUGACCCAGCGCUGAGGAGGGAGACGGCUCAUCCUUCAUGCCCCUUCUUCUGAGGCUCUCACCUCAGGGCGGUGGCCAUCCUUCCUCUGGACAGAGUCCCAGGAUCCGAAGACGGUCAGAGCUCGCUUUGUUCAUCUUCCCAAUCCUUCAGGCCAGAGCGCAAUUCCUUGUAGAGGCCUGAAAUCUGAACAUGGAAGGAAAUAAAAGGGAGAGAAGAACCCACGUGCAUUAACCAUUUCCUCUCCGUCAGGCAUCAUACCAAAUACUUCCCAUGUCAGAGGCCAGGGCUAGAAGGUGACUAGGUGCACGAACUGAAAAAGGUCCUGUCCAGGUCCCUGUACUCUAAGGUCACCCCUCAACAAUGAUCACCCAGUUCACCUCGCUGCCUGCAGUAUGGGCUCUCAGCAAGGGAGAGUCAGCCUGUGCCUCUCUCUGGUGGUGCCACCGGGAACAUUACACACUAAUCAGUGGUACUAGGCUGCUGCCAUUCCCAGCAGCGCCUGGCACAAGCCUGGGAUUACCGAGGAGGUGAGAGAGUAAGGGCAGUGACUUGUAUUUUCCUGGCACAUUUUUAUGACAGGUUUUGUCUUCGGUCUUUUAUGUACAAGAUUUCAUUUAGCCCUCAUCAGAGCUCCACGAGAAAGACGUUAUUUCCAUGAGGAAACUGAAGCGCGGAGUGUUUAUCUAGAACCUGUCAAUGGCUUCUGGGAGAGGUAGGCACAGUCCCGAAGAAGCCUGUUUCCAAAUUCCAUGUUCACUGUUGCUUGAGCCCUGGAGAGUUCUGUUGGUUUGGGCAAGGUCAGAAAGGCAACUCUUUGAUCCUUUUCAUCAAGAGUCGCAGAAAUUAAAUUCAGAAAAUCAGACUUGUCAGAAUUGCUGAGGUCAGAAAAUACCAAAGAGGCAUCCUGGGUUUCAUGCUCACACAGGUAAGUGAACAAUGAGGAGGAUGGAUGGUCAGCCCCUUACUCUUCAGUGUUCUAGAGAGUGACCACGUGCAGGGGGCCCCAACACCUGGCUCUGCCAGUCACUAGCUGUGUGACCACAUGUAUGGUCUUUGUGUUUCUCAGCCUCGAACUGUCUUGGGUAUAAAGAACUUGCCCCUCACAGGUUUUGUAUGAGGAUAACAGGAGACACUGCCUUAUCACAUUGAGUCCUGUACGUGUGGUGUGCUGGGAGGUCCUGGCAGUAGUGCUGCUUGUUGACUAACUAGUACUUUUAACCAUAGUCAUUUCACUUGGGAGCACUUUGCUUUGCAGAGUCAUCAUAUUUAUUUGGAAUUAUUUAGCAUUGGAGAUGAGAAGGAAAGAAAAGGGACAGGAGACUAAGGACAGGGAAGCCGGUGGGUGAUGCUUGAGAAAGUGAGUGGGACCCCAUUACCAUGUGUGGGACCACCUUAGUCCAGGGGGCUGCUGGCAGCCAAGAUUGCUCUUCCAGGAGACAGUAGGAUCCCAGGAGUGAUGUGGUGAGCAUCCAGACCACCUGGGACAGAAGCAAUGGGUAAAGGACCUUAUCUGCAAGGUCGUUUUCUCAGGAAAAGUGUUGGAAGCCCACCUCUUGGCAGGGUUUAGGCCUGGCUGGGGGUGACCUGACUGAGGGACUCAUCUUCCCUUCUGCUUUAUCAAGAUUCUAAACCACCUCCUUUCAGGCCAGCCAGCCCUCAACUCCAGCCUUUGUAUAAGGACAAGCUUCCUGGUUGUGUUUGUUUAUCAUGCAAAUGGUUGCAAAUUUUCUGCUUGGCAUCCCUCCUCCUCCUCCCUCUCUUUCAUUCCCCUCUCCCAUCUCUUUUUGCUCUGAUGGUUUUAAGAAUCAUUAUUUCUCCUGUGCUUUCUCCUGGGGAAAAAAAAAAAGAGAGAGAGAGAGAGAGAAGUCUAAUCCUCGACUCAGGCAAUGGCGUCUAAUUAUCUUAUUAAAACUAUCUGGAGUCCUUCAGCCUUUUAUGCCCAUGGCCCUAAGACAAUCCUCCUACUUUCUGAUGUCAAUUUUCGGUGACUUUUAAUACCUGCUGUUGCGUAUGAGGUGAAGGGAACUUCACUUUAAAACAUAUAUUUAUCAAAAUACGAUUCUCCAAGCAAACAAUCUCAAUUUAAGAAGCUGACAAGGAGAAGGAGCAAUUUGGAGUGUUUACUCUUACAACAGAGGCCCACCUGAAAUGUCAUCAGUCUAGAAAACAGGAACACUGGAAGAAGCCAAGCUUAUUUUUAAAUAUAAAAUGAUAAUUUUUUAAAAACCGCCUUUGUUGUUUAGUCUGAAGGCAGCUCACCUGAUCAUUUGUCAAAGCCAUGAUUUUUACUGCCAACAAAAUGAGAGAAACAGGCAGAAAAGAGAGGAGAGAAAACAUUUAUUUUGAAGGGGAAAAUAAAGAUCUCUUUCUAACAUGAUAACCAAUGUCCUAUCUCUCUGAUGGCAGACAACACACCAAAAAUCUGAGUUGUUGUAAGCCAGUACCUUUGUAUAUGGAUUAUCUAAGUAGAUGUGUGUUAAAGAUGGGAAACUCACAUCAUUAGAAGGCUUUAUGGCCCACAGAAUAGGCCACCCUGAGAAGAAGCCCAGUUGGCUAUAGGAUGUCACUAGCCCCUUAGUCUGCCCCAGAAGACCAUCAUCAUGACCCUUUAUGUAUUUGUACAGCUUUGUCUUUUGUCACUUCAACCCUCCCUCUCAAACCUUGUGUUCCCCUCAUGUCAAAUCAUGUCUUUAGCUUCCCCAAGCCUUCUUGUUUCUAUACUUUCAGGUUGGGUGUAACUGUCUUCUCCUGUCUCACCUCCUACCUCACCCCUCUACCCCUCUCCCUGCUAGCAAAUUCAGCACAAAUACCAUCUCCCCUGGGAAUCUUAUCUGAUCCCACAGGAGCUGCGUCCUUCCUCCCUGCCAUUUCUGCCCCACUCUGUUGAGCCUCACUCAUCGUCAAUCAAUCAUUGUCAUGUCAGUCAUGCCACAAGAGGCAUAUCUUUGUGUAUCUUCAAUUAGUCACCAUUUAGGCUAUGGAC
Molecule: long non-coding RNA, 3436 nt
Organism: Mustela erminea (ermine)
Lineage: Eukaryota; Metazoa; Chordata; Mammalia; Carnivora; Mustelidae
Exons: 3
Source: RefSeq, a predicted model, not a curated record